This 253-nucleotide ribosomal RNA is filed under the name uncultured bacterium. Its description in RNAcentral is "partial 16S ribosomal RNA". It matches the Rfam family "Archaeal small subunit ribosomal RNA", at positions 474 to 727 of the family's 1478-position model. The record is from RNAcentral.
UACCAGCACCCCGAGUGGUCGGGACGUUUAUUGGGCCUAAAGCAUCCGUAGCCGGUUCUACAAGCCUUCCGUUAAAUCCACCUGCUCAACAGAUGGGCUGCGGAAGAUACUAUGGAGCUAGGAGGCGGGAGAGGCAAGCGGUACUCGAUGGGUAGGGGUAAAAUCCGUUGAUCCAUUGAAGACCACCAGUGGCGAAGGCGGCUUGCCAGAACGCGCUCGACGGUGAGGGAUGAAAGCUGGGGGAGCAAACCGG